Non-coding RNA from Macaca mulatta (Rhesus monkey), 4097 nucleotides. Lineage: Eukaryota; Metazoa; Chordata; Mammalia; Primates; Cercopithecidae. The record is from RefSeq and is a predicted model, not a curated record.
GUCAAGAUUGCACCACUGCACUCCAGCCUGUGCAACAGAGACUCCAUCUCAAAAAGAAAAAAGAAAUUGCAAUCAAGCAAGACAGAAGAGAUCAAGGGCUCUGGUCAUCAUGUCCCCUUAACAACAUUCAGUGACUUGUAAUAGAGAGAGAGACUCAGGGCCAGGAAUGUGGCACUGGGCCUAGUAGGACUUUUUCUGACUUCUGGUUUAUAGGCAAUGCCCAAGGAGAUAAUGAGGGCCUUCAUUUGUCCCACCUCAAUAUCCACUGUCAUUCCUCUCUCCAUUUCCCUCCCUUUAAAAACAUUUUUAACCACUUCUGGAUUUAUUUUUCUGGAUCUGGAGCCUGAAACCCCAAAGAAGCCAAGGAACCAGGCUUCCUUCCUCUCCCCACGGACUUGUCUCUCGGGGAGGUGCCCAAAUCAGCAAAUCAGGAAGGCUGAUGGGGGGGCGGGUCAAAGUUGCACUAGGGGUCAAGCCAUUGGGUUCUCAGAUGGAAAUGGCCCUCAGAGGAUCUUGCUACUGAUCCCUCCUCUCUCUCAUGGUUGCUGGGCCUCAGGAGCCUUACCUGUGGCUUCCUGUCCCUCUCCUCCGGGGAUGGGUCUGUUUCUCUGUAUACGACAGCUUUGGUUACCAGCAUAUCAGGAUGCUGCAGUUUGGCCUCCUUGAUGGCCAAAGCCAGAGCCUGGUGGUAAAGAACAGCAAAGGAAGGAACCAUGAAAUAUCCAAGAUGAGACAGACUGUGAAGAACAGCAAGCCCUCUAGUGCACAGCUGGAGAAACUGAGGCCCAGGGAGGGGCAAAGUCAAACAAUUAAAGGGACAGACUAGAGCUCGGCUCUUCUGGCUCCUUCUGGCUCCCAUCCAAUGCCCCUUCCUUGGGGGUUUCUUAUCUGAACAGGGUCAGCAAGAAGUGGACACCUUCUCUGCCCAUGAGCGUAGCCAUCCAUGGGUAACCCGACAUAGGAGGGAUUGAGGACUGGGCAGUGGCACUGGGAAGAACGGUCCCUACCCCCAUACCUGGUCUUGAUCGACAUCUUCAUCCCCAGUAAUGAUGAUUCGCUUCUCGAUCCUCGUCUCAGAAAACCCUCCUUUCACAGUCUGCAGAGGGAGAGGGAGGUGAGGUCACUCUUGGGUCCUGUUGGGGCAGCAGCCUCAAGAGGGGACCUACCCAAAUCAUCUGUCAAGGGCAGGGUUGAGAACCAGCAGUUACCUUCUCUCCUGACUUCCUCAGAUUUUUUCUUUUCUGGUUUUGGACUUUGAACUGCAGAUCUUGUCUGGUUGCCACCACUCCCCAAAAAUACCAAACCACCCCAUCUAGGUCUUCCAAGCCCAGCUCCAAUGCUGCCUCUCAGACACUGGUUGGCAAUGCUUCUGCCUUCCUGCCUUGGUACUCCCUGAGUACUGAGUCUGUCUCUCUCACAGUUCUGGACCUCUCUGCCUGGUGCCGACCAUAUGUGUGUCUGUGGCCAUGUUCACCUCACCAGGCUGCCAGUUCUUGAAGGCAGGGUCUGUAUUUUGUUCAUCUCUGUAUCCCCUCCUCUCCCACUCCCUCACCCAGUCUAACCAGGGCAGUGCUGAAUGCAGAUUUGUUGAAUGAACACAUGAAUGAAAUGUGAAUGGUGACAAGGUUCUGCCUUGAACGACUUCCAACAAUACUACAAGAGAAAAUUAGAUUGAUGAUACUUAUGACCUCUGCUGUUUUCUGAAGGCACAGGAUUUGGACAAGUUUCGAAGUAAUAGCUGAGGCGGGACCUAAUUGUUUGGCAUGUUAAAGCAGGGUGGUGUCUGUGGGGAAUCCCAGCUGGAGUCAGGAGUGGAUAGAAAGAAGAGGGGGCUCCCAGUUGGCAGGGACUUUGGGAAGAAGAGUUUCCUGAACUGUCUGCUGUGGGCGUGGGAUGUAAAACCUCCCAUAAAGCUUUCAGAGAAGUCAACAUUGCUGAGUAAUGUUUUUAUUGAGAGUGGGUUCUCUGUGGGGUAUGUGAGAAAGUGCUGAAUCCUGCAGAGGCGCAGGCAGAGGCCAGGACAGUCUGUGCAUGAAGGCCUGGUGCAACUGACCAGAGUUCUCCUCUGAUGGCUCAUCAACCUGGCUGCUCCAGGCCUCCAGCCCUGGCUAGGCGCCCUCCUGCCUUCCUCCUGGCCACAUAGGUAUGGACACAUCAGCCCGCCUGCCUCCCAACUAGCCCUUGUCCUUAUUGCUGGGUCACCCAGGAAGGCUUCCCUCCUUUGUCCCUACCUCUUCCCGCCUGGGCUCCGACUCACACCCUGGUCCAGGCCCUCCCUAUCAGGCCUGAGUUAUUUACUAUUCGUCUCUCUCCAUACUUCUCCCUCUUCUUUCUCCCACCUAUCUAUACAUCCUGGUGGAUCUGAUAUUCUCUCCUUAAACCUAUUUUCAAUGGGUUACUCUCCAAUCUAAAAAUCUUCAUGGCUUUCCAAUCUCCCUGAGGCCCAGAUCCUCCAGAGUCAAAUGUGUCCUGGUAUUUGUUAUUUGCUCUAUAUUCCACCUCCCUGUCCCCAGUACAACCUAAUUUCCCAGAUACACCCCCUACAUGUGAUUCUCAUGUCCCGUAAACAGGCCUCACUUAUGGCUACAUCCAGCAGCCCCUGGCACAGAGGCCAACACAAAUAAAGUUGACACUCACUAACAUCUGCUCAACAAACAAACAAACAAAUAAGCAAACACACAAUUUCUGCUUCCCUCUUCUGCUUUGCUUAGAACACCUGCAUCUGUCUUCUCCUCCCUCAGGUGUCCUGCCUGGCUUUCCAAGACUCUACUCAGUCCCUACUUCUUCUAGGAGAUGUUUCCUGAUUCUUGCAGGGCCUCUCAUAUGUCACCCCAUCUAGAUUCCUCCAGCAUUUUCCAUCUACAAGGUGCACACGCCAUGGUUCACAGUUACUUGAAAGAGGAGAGUAUUGUUCCCUCUAGCCUGGCUGUCAACACCGUGUGGGAAGGGCCCGUGCCUAGAACAACAUGUGGCACAGGACAAAGCGCACAGUAUUCCAGAAACUGGUAAACACUACAGGUUUUCUCUGCCCACUUUACAGAUGGCGAAGCCAAAGCUGAACAACGGUUAUGACCUUCUCGCCUGCAGCUCGGCUGGGGGCAUGGGGCACCCUGCUGCUACUCACUUUGGUGACAUGGGUGGUGGUGGAGGUUGAGAGGGUUUCCGCAGUGGCGCCGUAGGUGCUGGUGAGGACAUCUUUCCCGAUGAUCUGCAGAAUAUAACCACCCCCCACCCAGGGUGUCAGGGUCACCGCACGCCAUCUACUGACCAAGGCAAGGAAGUGGUCUAAGACAAGAGACAAUGUGCAGCCACCAGGAUGGGUCCACAGGAAGGACUCCAGCCUCACCUUCAGAGUGGAGCUCGCCGAGAAGUACCAGCAAGGAAAUUCACGGCAGCGCUGAUCAUGAAUUGCACGAAACAAAAACAACCACAAGGCAUGCCAUUGGGAGACAGUGAAAUAAAUCAAGAUUUGCCUCCUAAGUGAGAUGAACAAGAGUAAGGUGGGUCUAUGUAGGCCAACAAGGAGUGAUCUCCAAAAUAAUUACUAAGAAGAAAGGUAAGGUGUAAGAAAAUGAUCGCUUCUGUGUAAACAUUGUUAAGUAUAUAGAGAUGUAGGUAUCUGUGUUGGAAUAGGCUUAUAUAUUUUUCUGGGUGGUAAUAUAAGAAAAAUCCCAUUUUUCUGUUUGAAUGGUAUAACUAUAAACUUUUUUUUGUUGUUUUGUUUUUAUGUCGAUAAGGGUUACUGGGCUGUGGGAUCUAGGGCCAAUUUUAGUUUCUUUAUACUUUUCUGUGGGAAAACACAACAGAAACACGUGUUACUAAAACAAAACAGGUCAGGGGGGAAAGCAGCUUGCCCAAGGUCACACAGCUCACCAGAACUCAAGAGUCCUGACCUGUAGUAGGCGGCCUCAUAAACUCCUACUAUCAUUAUAAAAGUGGGAGAAAAAAACUCUGGAAACAAAAAGAAUUGCCCAUGUUGUAUUGGUUUAUGUCUUAUUUCAGUUUUCUCUUUGUCUCUCUUUUUUCCCCUGUCACCCAAGCUGGAAUGCAGUGGUGCAAUCCUAGCUCAUAGUUCACUGCAACCUCGACCUCCUGGG